GUAGGGGGCAAGCGUUAUCCGGAUUUAUUGGGCGUAAAGCGUGUGUAGGCGGUUUGUUAAGUUUAAGAUUAAAGCCUGGGGCUCAACUCCAGUUCGUCUUAAAAACUGGCAGACUAGAGUACGGUAGAGGCAAACGGAAUUUCUAGUGUAGCGGUGAAAUGCGUAGAUAUUAGAAGGAACACCAGUGGCGAAAGCGGUUUGCUGGGCCGUUACUGACGCUGAGGCACGAAAGCGUGGGGAGCAAAUAGGAUUAGAUACCCUAGUAGUCCACGCCGUAAACGAUGAGUACUAAGUGUUGGGGUUUCCCAGUGCUGAAGCUAACGUAUUAAGUACUCCGCCUGAGUAGU
Molecule: ribosomal RNA, 347 nt
Filed under: uncultured bacterium
Lineage: Bacteria
Description: bacterial SSU rRNA
Rfam family: Bacterial small subunit ribosomal RNA
Source: RNAcentral